Non-coding RNA from Pelobates cultripes (western spadefoot toad), 937 nucleotides. NCBI's taxonomy places the organism in Eukaryota, Metazoa, Chordata, Amphibia, Anura, Pelobatidae. The record is from the annotation of a GenBank genome assembly.
GCUAAACCUAGACUUCCCUAGCAAGAGCCAUGCAAACAUCCUCGAAAAAUAAUAACAUUAAAUCAGAAUAUUCACCUAAACAAAGCUGAAAAUGCUUGGAAACCCGCUACAAGACAGACAAAUGAAAAUUCCACUAGUAUCCAGGCUCAGGAAUUGUUCCACAAAGUGCGCAGUAUCCUUAAUAAGGUGACUCCUGAGACAUCUAAGCAGCUAACCAAACAAGUGGCAGACCACUCUGUAGACACAGCAUAUCAGCUCAAAUGUGUAGUACAACUAAUAUUUGAAAAGCAAAAUCUGAGCCAAAUUUUUCAUGUAUAUAUGCCAACAUGUGCCAUUGUCUAAUGAGGCUAGAAGUUCCAGCAGAAGUAAAUCCUAAAAUCUGUAUUAAGUUCUGCAGACAGCUGCUAAAGCUCUGCCAGGAGGAGUUUGAAAAAGGUGAAGAUGGUAACGAGCGAAUUAAAAAACUCUAGAAGACAUUGGAAAUGGCUACGUCAUCUAAUGAAAAGGCUCAAGUAAAGGAGGAAUUGAGCGAUGCUCUUAAUAAAGCUCGCCGGCGCUCUCUAGGGAACAUCACAUUUAUUGGGGAAUUAUUUAAAUUGAAAACGCUCUCAAAAAACAUCAUACAUGACUGUCUUGUCAAACGUCUGAACAAACAAAGUGAGGAGUCAAUGGAGUACGUCUGUCUUUUGUUAAAAUCAGUUUGAAAACACCUGGAAGUCAGACUGCCUCGUAUGGAUGACUAUUUCGGCCACAUCGAUAAACUCAUCAAAAACAAGAAAACAUCUCACCGGAUUCGAUUUAUGGUGCAGGAUGCGGUGGAUUCGAGGAUGAACAACUGGGUGCCUCGCCGUGAAAAUCUGGGUCCAAAAACAAUGGCUGAGAUCCAUAAAGACAUCUAACUGACCCCCUAGUCACCCUCAAAUGCCCCUAAGUCCCC